GAACGCUGGCGGCAGGCUUAACACAUGCAAGUCGAGCGGGGAAAGGUAGCUUGCUACCUGACCUAGCGGCGGACGGGUGAGUAAUGCUUAGGAAUCUGCCUAUUAGUGGGGGACAACGUUCCGAAAGGAAUGCUAAUACCGCAUACGCCCUACGGGGGAAAGCAGGGGAUCUUCGGACCUUGCGCUAAUAGAUGAGCCUAAGUCGGAUUAGCUAGUUGGUGGGGUAAAGGCCUACCAAGGCGACGAUCUGUAGCGGGUCUGAGAGGAUGAUCCGCCACACUGGGACUGAGACACGGCCCAGACUCCUACGGGAGGCAGCAGUGGGGAAUAUUGGACAAUGGGCGGAAGCCUGAUCCAGCCAUGCCGCGUGUGUGAAGAAGGCCUUUUGGUUGUAAAGCACUUUAAGCGAGGAGGAGGCUCCUUUAGUUAAUACCUAAAGAGAGUGGACGUUACUCGCAGAAUAAGCACCGGCUAACUCUGUGCCAGCAGCCGCGGUAAUACAGAGGGUGCGAGCGUUAAUCGGAUUUACUGGGCGUAAAGCGUGCGUAGGCGGCUUUUUAAGUCGGAUGUGAAAUCCCUGAGCUUAACUUAGGAAUUGCAUUCGAUACUGGAAAGCUAGAGUAUGGGAGAGGAUGGUAGAAUUCCAGGUGUAGCGGUGAAAUGCGUAGAGAUCUGGAGGAAUACCGAUGGCGAAGGCAGCCAUCUGGCCUAAUACUGACGCUGAGGUACGAAAGCAUGGGGAGCAAACAGGAUUAGAUACCCUGGUAGUCCAUGCCGUAAACGAUGUCUACUAGCCGUUGGGGCCUUUGAGGCUUUAGUGGCGCAGCUAACGCGAUAAGUAGACCGCCUGGGGAGUACGGUCGCAAGACUAAAACUCAAAUGAAUUGACGGGGGCCCGCACAAGCGGUGGAGCAUGUGGUUUAAUUCGAUGCAACGCGAAGAACCUUACCUGGCCUUGACAUACUAAGAACUUUCCAGAGAUGGAUUGGUGCCUUC
Molecule: ribosomal RNA, 996 nt
Filed under: Acinetobacter schindleri
Lineage: Bacteria; Pseudomonadati; Pseudomonadota; Gammaproteobacteria; Moraxellales; Moraxellaceae
Description: bacterial SSU rRNA
Rfam family: Bacterial small subunit ribosomal RNA
Source: RNAcentral